UGAAGUUUUCGGAUGGAUUUAAAACAGCUUAGUGGCGGACGGGCGAGUAACGCGUGAGCAACCUGCCCUUCAGUGGGGAACAACGGCUGGAAACGGCCGCUAAUACCGCAUAAUGUGUGGAAACCGCAUGGAGACCACACCAAAGGAGCAAUUCGCUGAAGGAUGGGCUCGCGUCCGAUUAGCUAGUUGGUGAGGUAACGGCUCACCAAGGCGACGAUCGGUAGCCGAACUGAGAGGUUGAUCGGCCGCAUUGGGACUGAGACACGGCCCAGACUCC
RNAcentral lists this ribosomal RNA (277 nucleotides) under uncultured bacterium. Its description in RNAcentral is "partial 16S ribosomal RNA". It matches the Rfam family "Bacterial small subunit ribosomal RNA", at positions 67 to 339 of the family's 1533-position model. The record is from RNAcentral. RNAcentral also lists the same sequence under 1 other name.